Beta vulgaris subsp. vulgaris (sugar beet) is the source of this 891-nucleotide long non-coding RNA. RefSeq lists it as uncharacterized. The transcript is spliced from 2 exons. NCBI's taxonomy places the organism in Eukaryota, Viridiplantae, Streptophyta, Magnoliopsida, Caryophyllales, Amaranthaceae. The record is from RefSeq and is a predicted model, not a curated record.
AACCUGCACAUCAUCUCCUCGCAGUUCCUUUCAUUCUCUCUCUCCUCUCUUGUGUACAACUCUUAUCUGAUGCUUAUCUCUAGUCUCCGUCUCUCCUACUCUGAUCCCUCUUCUUUAUCUAUGGAAAGCAUAACAUGUCGCUUUGGAGUAUGGCUAAUAAAAUUGUGGCACAGUGAAGCUUUUACGGGAAAUAUGGGAUCGCCAAGUGCAGUUAGCUCUCUGACUUCCUCUUAUGAAGAUAUUGAAUAUGGUAGUUUCCUUCCCCUUGCUUUGUGAAUCUCAUUCUGCAAAUCUGUGCUAUUCUUCAUACCCAACUGUGUUUGAGCACUAUGCCUUUAUUUCUCUGACUCAAGUAUUCCCCUUUCGCCUUCAUUCUUUUUGCCUCAAAUUGUUGAUUGUGAAUUCAGCUCUUAAGUCUAUUGUUUAUUGAAUCGGAAUGGUUGGUAUUAAGAAGGUUGCAUUCUUCAUAUUGAGCAUUAUAAUCAAGUAAUUAAGGCUAUGAAAAUUACUCAUGCGGGUUGGGAUUGAAUUCACAGCCUUAAGUGCUUUUUUUCAUUUAUUCUUUGCAUACAUAAUCAGUGGCGGCUGAUAUGAUUGGAAUCACGAUUUCAUGUUAUGGAAGGAUGAGAUAAUCUGAGAGUAUAAAUUAAUGCUAUCUUGUAUCUGAGCUUAGCAAAGGAAAACUUGUCCUGGCUUCAGGGAAUUUACAGGUCUAUCUUUGAGAUUAGAUGCCUUAUUUUGUUGCUUUUCCAUUUUUUGAUGCUUUUUAUUAUUAUAUAAUGUUUUAUAUCACAAGAUGUAACUAGAAAUUGAAAUAUUUACCUUUGUAUAUCUGUAUACUUCACUUAUACUGGCAUGCUGUUAUGAGAUUAUAAGUGAAAUCAUUGCUAA